GCACUUCUAAAUUUUAUUACUAAUUAGAAUUUAACAUGCUUGGGGGUUUGGGAUGAGGUGUUAAGUACCAAGUAUGUUACCUUGGACAGGGUGAGCUUUUUCCAGUUCAGAAUUAAUACCCCUACAGAAAAUAAGAGCAAGGGGAUGCUUCACCCAGAUGGUUUUGCUCUUUGGUAUCUACACACAUUCUGAAAACACCUAAUGUACUUUUAAACUUUUCUGUGCACUGGCAUUAGGUGAUGACUGCUGGCUUUCUUUCCUUUUCAGUUUGCCCUUUGCUCUCCAAACAACUUUUAGUUUGGAAGGCUGUAAUCAGCCCACAAAUCUGGACUAGUGGCAUAAAAAAAAUUGUGUAAUAGCGGGGACACAUGAGUG
RNAcentral lists this long non-coding RNA (375 nucleotides) under Bos taurus (domestic cattle). RNAcentral's name for it is "long non-coding RNA NONBTAT006796". The record is from RNAcentral. Lineage: Eukaryota; Metazoa; Chordata; Mammalia; Artiodactyla; Bovidae.